This 414-nucleotide long non-coding RNA is filed under the name Brassica napus (rape). RNAcentral's name for it is "long non-coding RNA (BNAP_LNC015284)". The record is from RNAcentral. Lineage: Eukaryota; Viridiplantae; Streptophyta; Magnoliopsida; Brassicales; Brassicaceae.
GGUAUUUCGGUAUAGAGGUAUAGAACCCGUUCGGGUAUUUCUGUACUUCUUGUCGGGUUCGGGUAUUUCUUGUAUUUAAAAAAAAAUCAAUUUUUCAUUUCUCAAAUUUCUUGUAUUUAAAAAUAUAACUUUCACUUAACUAUUUUUUUUAUUUUUAAUAGAUUGAAUGGUUAAUAGAUUUGGACAUAACAUUUUGAAACUAAUAAAGAUAUUAAUUUGGUUAUUGUUUUUAAAUUUUGGAUGUAACUUUUUGUUAAUUUUUGAAAUAAAAAGUUUGACAUGCAAUUUUAAGUGUGUAGUAAAUCAUUUUCCCCGUAAUUCUAUAUAUAUCAUAUGAACUUAAAGUAUGUGUAGUAUCAAUGUAAAUAUUUUAUAUAAAAUGAGAGAUGUAAACUAGAAGUAUAUGGUUAAUUA